AGAGUUUGAUCCUGGCUCAGAAUCAACGCUGGCGGCAGGCCUAACACAUGCAAGUCGAGCGCCCGUAGCGCAAGGGGAGCGGCAGACGGGUGAGUAACGCGUGGGAAUCUACCUCGUGGUACGGAAUAGCCCAGGGAAACUUGGAGUAAUACCGUAUGAGCCCGAAAGGGGAAAGAUUUAUCGCCAUGAGAUGAGCCCGCGUUGGAUUAGCUAGUUGGUGAGGUAACGGCUCACCAAGGCGACGAUCCAUAGCUGGUCUGAGAGGAUGAUCAGCCACACUGGGACUGAGAUACGGGCCAGACUCCUACGGGAGGCAGCAGUAGGGAAUAUUGGACAAUGGGCGCAAGCCUGAUCCAGCCAUGCCGCGUGCGGGAAGAAGGCCUUCGGGUUGUAAACCGCUUUUGUCAGGGAAGAAAAUGACGGUACCCGCAGAAGAAGCCCCGGCUAACUCUGUGCCAGCAGCCGCGGUAAUACAGAGGGGGCAAGCGUUGUUCGGAAUCACUGGGCGUAAAGCGCACGUAGGUGGAUAGUUAAGUUCGGGGUGAAAUCCCAGGGCUCAACCCUGGAACUGCCUC
This 575-nucleotide ribosomal RNA is filed under the name uncultured bacterium. Its description in RNAcentral is "bacterial SSU rRNA". It matches the Rfam family "Bacterial small subunit ribosomal RNA", at positions 8 to 627 of the family's 1533-position model. The record is from RNAcentral.